RNAcentral lists this ribosomal RNA (407 nucleotides) under uncultured bacterium. RNAcentral's name for it is "partial 16S ribosomal RNA". It matches the Rfam family "Bacterial small subunit ribosomal RNA", at positions 30 to 526 of the family's 1533-position model. The record is from RNAcentral.
AUUGAACGCUGGCGGCAGGCCUAACACAUGCAAGUCGAGCGGAGCGGCGGACGGGUGAGUAAUGCCUAGGAAUCUGCCUGGUAGCGGGGGAUAACGACCGGAAACGGGCGCUAAUACCGCAUACUAUCGGAUCGGCCUAUGUCGGAUUAGCUAGUUGGUGGGGUAACGGCCUACCAAGGCGACGAUCCGUAACUGGUCUGAGAGGAUGAUCAGUCACACUGGAACUGAGACACGGUCCAGACUCCUACGGGAGGCAGCAGUGGGGAAUAUUGGACAAUGGGCGAAAGCCUGAUCCAGCCAUGCCGCGUGUGUGAAGAAGGUCUUCGGAUUGUAAAGCACUUUAAGUUGGGAGGCGGUACCAGCAGAAUAAGCACCGGCUAACUUCGUGCCAGCAGCCGCGGUAAUAC